AGAUUCACUCCAGUUCACCCCAGUUAUUAUGAAGCACGAUGAUUGAACAUUACAAAGAAAAUCAAAUAAACAGAAAGUUAUUUUAAAGAUAAAUAAGAUUUCUCUAAAUGUCACUUUAUGUUUCUAUUAAACGAUAAAGUGUUUAUUUUUUAGAAGACCUGAAACUAAAAUAUAAUGUUCAUUCUAUCAAUAUGUGUUUUUUUGAGUCAAUGUAAAACUCAGUUGUACAAAAUAUGUCUCAUACAAAACAUUAAUUAAUUAAUAUUAACAUUUUUCUUUUUUCUUUUCUUUUUAUUUUACUUUGGAAACAAGCUAACAAGCUGAGAACAAAGUCUUUGAAACAAUAAACAUAAAAGUGAUUUAAAAUAACUUUAUACCAUUGAAAUACUUUUAGUUUGACAAUGAAGAAAUUUAAGUUCAAUUCAUUUCAAAAAAAAAAUAAGAGAAUUUUAUUUUCUCUUUUUACCACUAAAAAUACAUUAAGACAUUAUUGAAGCUACUGUAAGAAAACAAUUUUCACUGUUUCAAACAUUUAACAAUUAAUCAUUUCAGAUCAUACACAAGAUAACAUUUACAUGAAAUGACAUGUGCACCAAAACAUUUAGCACUUUUCUUAGCCUAAAUAAACUUUUUUAUUGUUUGUAUCGACGACAUCUUCUUUCAUCCUUAAACUUUUUUUCCUCUCUUUUUUUAACUUCAUUCUCUUUCUUGUAAUUAAAAAAGUCAUGAUGUAGAGAUAUAAUGACUAUAAACAUUUUGUUUCACAAAAAAAUUUAAAACUCCUAAAAAAAACCUCAAGGAGUGAUUCCAGUUGAUCAGACUUAUUUAAGGAGGAGUUUAUGCAAAUCUGACAUUUCCAGUUUCUUCUUAUAUGAAUCAAAGUUCAGUGAUUCAAUCUGACAAAGAAGCUGCAGACAGAACAAAGACAAAUGACUCCAACAAUGAUCAGACCUGUUUGUUUGCUGCUUUUUCUCUUUUUCUUUGGUGUCUUACCUGGUAUCAGGGGUCAAACACUGACUGAGUCUGAAUCAGUGGUUAAAAGACCUGGAGAAUCCCACAAACUGACUUGUACAUAUUCAGGGUUUAGUAGUGAUCCUUAUAUAGCUUGGAUCAGACAGGCUGCUGAAAAAGGACUGGAGUGGAUCGCUUAUAUUAACCCUGGCAGCAGCGGCAUCUACUACUCAGAGUCAGUGAAAAACCGCUUCACCAUCUCCAGAGACAACAGCAGAAAGCAGGUGUAUCUGCAGAUGAACAGUCUGAGAGCUGAGGAUUCUGCUGUUUAUUACUGCGCUCGAGAGACACAGUGACUCAAGAGACACAAACUCUGUACAAAAACAC
This is a non-coding RNA of Oryzias melastigma (Indian medaka), 1338 nucleotides long. Lineage: Eukaryota; Metazoa; Chordata; Actinopteri; Beloniformes; Adrianichthyidae. The record is from the annotation of a RefSeq genome assembly.